GCGAGAAUAGCUCAAUGGUAGAGCGUGACCUUGCCAAGGUCACGGACGAGGGUUCGAUUCCCUUUUCUCGCU
This 72-nucleotide transfer RNA is filed under the name Cavernulicola chilensis. RNAcentral describes it as "tRNA-Gly". It matches the Rfam family "tRNA". From Rfam's summary of the family: Transfer RNA (tRNA) molecules are approximately 80 nucleotides in length. Lineage: Eukaryota; Rhodophyta; Bangiophyceae; Cavernulicolales; Cavernulicolaceae. The record is from RNAcentral.